This 497-nucleotide ribosomal RNA is filed under the name uncultured bacterium. RNAcentral describes it as "partial 16S ribosomal RNA". It matches the Rfam family "Bacterial small subunit ribosomal RNA", at positions 28 to 507 of the family's 1533-position model. The record is from RNAcentral.
GAUGAACGCUGGCGGCGUGCCUAAUACAUGCAAGUCGAGCGAACAGACGCGGAGCUUGCUCCUCUGACGUUAGCGGCGGACGGGUGAGUAACACGUGGAUAACCUACCUAUAAGACUGGGAUAACUUCGGGAAACCGGAGCUACUACCGGAUAAUAUAUUGAACCGCAUGGUUCAAUAGUGAAAGACGGUUUUGCUGUCACUUAUAGAUGGAUCCGCGCCGCAUUAGCUAGUUGGUAAGGUAACGGCUUACCAAGGCAACGAUGCGUAGCCGACCUGAGAGGGUGAUCGGCCACAAUGGAACUGAGACACGGUCCAGACUCCUACGGGAGGCAGCAGUAGGGAAUCUUCCGGAAUGGGCGAAAGCCUGACGGAGCAACGCCGCGUGAGGGAUGAUGGUCUUCGGAUCGUAAAACUCUGUUAUUAGGGAAGAACAAAUGUGUAAGUAACUAUGCACGUCUUGACGGUACCUAAUCAGAAAGCCACGGCUAACUACGUG